CUAGGGUCUGCUACUUAAGCAGUUGGGCUCAUGCCCCAAAAACGGUACACCUCUACCCCCUAGUAC
This 66-nucleotide transfer RNA is filed under the name Ptyctolaemus gularis. Its description in RNAcentral is "tRNA-Met". Lineage: Eukaryota; Metazoa; Chordata; Lepidosauria; Squamata; Agamidae. The record is from RNAcentral.